UACGGAGGGAGCUAGCGUUGUUCGGAAUUACUGGGCGUAAAGCGCACGUAGGCGGCGAUUCAAGUCAGAGGUGAAAGCCCGGGGCUCAACCCCGGAACUGCCUUUGAAACUAGAUUGCUAGAAUCUUGGAGAGGCGAGUGGAAUUCCGAGUGUAGAGGUGAAAUUCGUAGAUAUUCGGAAGAACACCAGUGGUGGAGGCGACUCGCUGGACAAGUAUUGACGCUGAGGUGCGAAAGCGUGGGGAGCAAACAGG
This 253-nucleotide ribosomal RNA is filed under the name uncultured bacterium. Its description in RNAcentral is "partial 16S ribosomal RNA". It matches the Rfam family "Bacterial small subunit ribosomal RNA", at positions 524 to 776 of the family's 1533-position model. The record is from RNAcentral.